This is a long non-coding RNA of Archocentrus centrarchus (flier cichlid), 598 nucleotides long. RefSeq lists it as uncharacterized. The record is from RefSeq and is a predicted model, not a curated record. NCBI's taxonomy places the organism in Eukaryota, Metazoa, Chordata, Actinopteri, Cichliformes, Cichlidae. The transcript has 2 exons.
GACACAGUAGAAGGUGAGGAAGUAGCUCUUUAGAAAGAUGAUCUUUUCUGAGGACUGGACAUCAUUGCAGGUGAUUAUGGUCAUUUCAACAAGCCUGUCAAAGACCCCACCCCCUACCCUCACAUCAUUCAAGAGCAGUUUGCACUUGGAGGCACAUUCUUAUGGGCUCAUUUCACCCUUCUCAUCACAGCAAGGGCCAGAUCCACAGGAAGAUGAGUCAGAAUAAUAACAGCUGUUAUGCUUAAUUAAGACUGUUUUUUUUUUUUUUUUGGACAUGUUGAUAUAUUAAAUCCAUAUCUACAUAAAUAUAAACAAUAAACUAUGCAGGUUGUAUAUUUGGCAUUUAGCCUGUGCAGGGCAAAUCUAUUUUAUUUGUCUGCAACUUUCCCAACUAGUAAACACAAUACAGAUAAAAGGAAACUGAAGCUGCUCUUGUGUUUUUAUGCUUAUUUACACUUGUAUUUCUUUUUUCUGUCUCAGUAAUGAUUAAAAUGGUUGAAAACUGUUAUUUUGACAUGCUGUUCUGCCUGAUUGUCAUUUUUCAGCUGCAUGCAACCAUGAACUGGUACAUCUGACAAAUAAACACUAUCUUAUCUUA